GCUUAUGGCCAUACCACCCUGAUUCUCGUCUGAUCUCAGAAGCUAAGCAGGGUUGGGCCUGGUUAGUACUUGGAUGCGAAACCACCUGGGAAUGUCAGGUGCUGUAAGCU
Molecule: ribosomal RNA, 110 nt
Filed under: Amphilophus citrinellus (Midas cichlid)
Lineage: Eukaryota; Metazoa; Chordata; Actinopteri; Cichliformes; Cichlidae
Source: RNAcentral